GGAGAGUUGUCCGAGUGGUUUAUGGUGACAGUCUUGAAAACUGUUGUACGGCAACGUACCGGGGGUUCGAAUCCCUCACUCUCCG
RNAcentral lists this transfer RNA (85 nucleotides) under Crassvirales sp. RNAcentral describes it as "tRNA-Ser". It matches the Rfam family "tRNA". From Rfam's summary of the family: Transfer RNA (tRNA) molecules are approximately 80 nucleotides in length. Lineage: Duplodnaviria; Heunggongvirae; Uroviricota; Caudoviricetes; Crassvirales. The record is from RNAcentral.